This 2174-nucleotide ribosomal RNA is filed under the name Pantoea ananatis. RNAcentral describes it as "partial 23S ribosomal RNA". It matches the Rfam family "Bacterial large subunit ribosomal RNA", at positions 1 to 2187 of the family's 2925-position model. Lineage: Bacteria; Pseudomonadati; Pseudomonadota; Gammaproteobacteria; Enterobacterales; Erwiniaceae. The record is from RNAcentral.
GGGUUGUGAGGUUAAGCGACUAAGCGUACACGGUGGAUGCCCUGGCAGUCAGAGGCGAUGAAGGGCGUGCUAAUCUGCGAUAAGCGCCGGUAAGGUGAUAUGAACCGCAAUAACCGGCGAUACCCGAAUGGGGAAACCCAGUGUGACUCGUCACACUAUCAUGCAGUGAAUACAUAGCUGUAUGAGGCGAACCGGGGGAACUGAAACAUCUAAGUACCCCGAGGAAAAGAAAUCAACCGAGAUUCCCCCAGUAGCGGCGAGCGAACGGGGAGGAGCCCAGAACCAUCAUCAGCUUGUGCAUCAGUGGAAGCGUCUGGAAAGUCGCAGGGUACAGGGUGAUACUCCCGUACACAAAGGUGCACAGGCUGUGAGUUCGAUGAGUAAGGCGGGACACGUGGUAUCCUGUCUGAAUAUGGGGGGACCAUCCUCCAAGGCUAAAUACUCCUGACUGACCGAUAGUGAACCAGUACCGUGAGGGAAAGGCGAAAAGAACCCCGGCGAGGGGAGUGAAACAGAACCUGAAACCGUGUACGUACAAGCAGUGGGAGCCUUCUUUAUGGGGGUGACUGCGUACCUUUUGUAUAAUGGGUCAGCGACUUAUAUUCUGUAGCAAGGUUAACCGCAUAGGGGAGCCGCAGGGAAACCGAGUCUUAACUGGGCGUUAAGUUGCAGGGUAUAGACCCGAAACCCGGUGAUCUAGCCAUGGGCAGGUUGAAGGUUGGGUAACACUAACUGGAGGACCGAACCGACUAAUGUUGAAAAAUUAGCGGAUGACCUGUGGCUGGGGGUGAAAGGCCAAUCAAACCGGGAGAUAGCUGGUUCUCCCCGAAAGCUAUUUAGGUAGCGCCUCGUGAACUCAUCUCCGGGGGUAGAGCACUGUUUCGGCUAGGGGGCCAUCCCGGCUUACCAACCCGAUGCAAACUGCGAAUACCGGAGAAUGUUAUCACGGGAGACACACGGCGGGUGCUAACGUCCGUCGUGAAGAGGGAAACAACCCAGACCGCCAGCUAAGGUCCCAAAGUCAUGGUUAAGUGGGAAACGAUGUGGGAAGGCCCAGACAGCCAGGAUGUUGGCUUAGAAGCAGCCAUCAUUUAAAGAAAGCGUAAUAGCUCACUGGUCGAGUCGGCCUGCGCGGAAGAUGUAACGGGGCUAAACCAUGCACCGAAGCUGCGGCAGCGACGCUUAUGCGUUGUUGGGUAGGGGAGCGUUCUGUAAGCCGUCGAAGGUGUGCUGUGAGGCAUGCUGGAGGUAUCAGAAGUGCGAAUGCUGACAUAAGUAACGAUAAACAAGGUGAAAAACCUUGUCGCCGGAAGACCAAGGGUUCCUGUUCAACGUUAAUCGGAGCAGGGUGAGUCGACCCCUAAGGCGAGGCCGAAAGGCGUAGUCGAUGGGAAACAGGUUAAUAUUCCUGUACUUGGUGUUACUGCGAAGGGGGGACGGAGAAGGCUAUAUCAGCCGGGCGACGGUUGUCCCGGUUUAAGCGUGUAGGUGUGUGUUCCAGGCAAAUCCGGUUCACUUUACACUGAGGCGUGACGACGAGGCACUACGGUGCUGAAGUGAUAAAUGCCCUGCUUCCAGGAAAAGCCUCUAAGCAUCAGGUAACACAAAAUCGUACCCCAAACCGACACAGGUGGUCAGGUAGAGAAUACCAAGGCGCUUGAGAGAACUCGGGUGAAGGAACUAGGCAAAAUGGUGCCGUAACUUCGGGAGAAGGCACGCUGGCGCGUAGGUGAAGGGACUUGCUCCCGGAGCUGAAGCCAGUCGAAGAUACCAGCUGGCUGCAACUGUUUAUUAAAAACACAGCACUGUGCAAACACGAAAGUGGACGUAUACGGUGUGACGCCUGCCCGGUGCCGGAAGGUUAAUUGAUGGGGUUAUCCGCAAGGAGAAGCUCUUGAUCGAAGCCCCGGUAAACGGCGGCCGUAACUAUAACGGUCCUAAGGUAGCGAAAUUCCUUGUCGGGUAAGUUCCGACCUGCACGAAUGGCGUAAUGAUGGCCAGGCUGUCUCCACCCGAGACUCAGUGAAAUUGAAAUCGCUGUGAAGAUGCAGUGUACCCGCGGCAAGACGGAAAGACCCCGUGAACCUUUACUACAGCUUGACACUGAACACUGAGCCUUGAUGUGUAGGAUAGGUGGGAGGCUUUGAAGCGUGGACGCCAGUCUGCGUGGAGCC